This 460-nucleotide ribosomal RNA is filed under the name uncultured bacterium. Its description in RNAcentral is "partial 16S ribosomal RNA". It matches the Rfam family "Bacterial small subunit ribosomal RNA", at positions 338 to 795 of the family's 1533-position model. The record is from RNAcentral.
CCUACGGGAGGCUGCAGUGAGGAAUAUUGGUCAAUGGGCUUACGCCUGAACCAGCCAAGUCGCGUGAGGGAAGACUGCCCUAUGGGUUGUAAACCUCUUUUGUCAGGGAGCUAUUGGCGCUACGUGUAGCGUUAUCGAGAGUACCUGAAGAAAAAGCAUCGGCUAACUACGUGCCAGCAGCCGCGGUAAUACGGAGGAUGCGAGCGUUAUCCGGAUUUAUUGGGUUUAAAGGGUGCGUAGGCGGAAUGCCAAGUCAGCGGUAAAAGCGCGGGGCUCAACCGCGCUCCGCCGUUGAAACUGGCGUUCUUGAGUGGGCGAGAAGUAUGUGGAAUGCGUGGUGUAGCGGUGAAAUGCAUAGAUAUCACGCAGAACUCCGAUUGCGAAGGCAGCACACCGGCGCCCAACUGACGCUGAAGCACGAAAGCGUGGGUAGCGAACAGGAUUAGAUACCCCUGUAGUC